GCCUGGCUCGGCGCAGGAAGUCACAUGUCACCAUGGCACUGUGGUUUCACUUUUAAACAGAGCAGAAAAAAAACAGAAGAAAUGGACCGACUGGCGUGUGUGCUGCUGGCGCUCUGUGUACCACACUGCUGGACUCGAAUCCAAACUCCGGAUCCUGCGACUCUGCGUUUCGUGGUGCUCGCUGACUGGGGGGGUAUUCCUUUGCCUCCGUACUACACCCCCCAUGAGGAGGCUGUCGCUGGGGAGCUGGACAGGCUGGCCCGCAAUGAAGGGGUGGACUUUGUGCUCAGCCUCGGAGAUCACUUCUACUUUGACGGUGUGAAGAAUGUGGACGACCCUCGCUUUAAGUACACAUAUGAAGGGGUUUUCUCCCAGGCCUCUCUGCUGGAUAUCCCAUGGUACCUCACUGCAGGAAACCACGACCACAGGGGCAACAUCUCCGCUCAGAUCGCUUACUCCAACACAUCCCAGCGCUGGAAUUACCCAAGUCUCUAUUAUGAUCUCCGGUUCACUGUCCCCCACACCAACGUGUCAGUGGGCGUCCUGAUGAUUGACACCGUGGUGUUGUGUGGAAACACGUACGACCAGACGCAGCCGUCAAGACCCGAGGACUCCACAGCAUCAGAGCAGCAGUGGGACUGGAUCACAGCUAAACUGGCCAGCAGCAAGUCAGACUAUGUCGUGGUGGCCGGUCAUUAUCCCGUGUGGUCCAUCGGCCAUCAUGGACCAACUUCCUGUCUGGUGAAAAGACUGAGGCCCCUCCUGAAGAAGUACAACGUCACUGUGUACCUGAGCGGCCACGACCACAACAUCCAGUUCAUCAGAGAGGAUGAUGGGAGUUCCUACGCGGUGAGUGGCAGUGGGAUGGUUAGUGACACCGCAACCACACACAAGGGCAGCGUCCCCUCGUCGUGGCAGCUGUACUCCAGCCCUGUGAACCACACGGUGGGGGGGCUGGCUUACUUCCAGGUCACCGAGCAUCACAUGACGGUCAGCUUCAUGCAGACAGACGGGAAGUGUGUUUACCAGGUGGAGCUGCAGAAACGCUCGCUCUGAGGGACUGGAUCAAUCGUGUGUUCUGAAGUAAUACUCAGAAAGAGAAUCAUGAGCCUUCUUCCUACGAUUCCAGCAGACCACAGUGAUGGCGAUGAUGAAGCCUAUCAGCAGCAGGAUGAGGAAGAUGGCCGCAGCGAUCACACCGAUCGAAUACACUGUGGGGACAAAACAAGACGUUACUUUAAAGACUUAACCAUAACCCUUUAAAAGAUAGAAGAUAAUGAAAUAUACACUAGGACAAAGUCUACAUCCCUGAUAGGAUGCAAUAUUCUUUGUCCCCAGUGUUGCGCUAAAGGAAAGGUCAUAAAGUGAAAGGCUGGUUUUUCUAAAUUUCAAGAUAUCUCAAUCCAUCUUAGAAAUACGCCUACAAAUACAUAUUUUCAUUAUCGCUGAAUGUGGGAGUUGUUAGCAACAAGCGAACAAAAUAAGACUCCCUCCUUCAGAUGGCUUUAGAAAAAAUGUGUGCAAGGUUGAGUUUUUGUCCCGAGGGUGGAGCAUGUAUAGACCUUUCUGGGAAAUUUAUUUUCCUUUUCACACGCACACGCACACACACACACACGCACACACACAGGGAGGGAGUGUUGCUGUGUUGCAUUUCUUAUUAUCCAAACAGAAACAUGAGUCACAGCGUCGUCCCAACGUCUCAUCAUCACAUUUGUGUGUAUAAGUCUGUGGAGCUUAAUGCUUGCAUUGUUAACCACAAAGAAGGCAUUUUCAGGAAUAUGCCACCUACAAAUAUAUAAAUGCUUAUCGCUUCCACAAGAGUGUGCUGUUGCAUUUCACAAAAAUGUUGCAUUGGGACGUAAGCAGAGGGAGGACAUGAAUGAGACAUUGUUCUCGUUUGCAGCUUCUAAGAGAAUCAGGACCUCACCUUCGAAGAUGGAUUGGGAGUCGUCAUUGGAGCACUGCGUCUGGCUCAUCUCCCCCAGCUGUUUGUCUGUGUCUCUGCUGGGGAUGUAGGCCUGCACGUUGAAGCAGUAACUCUCCCCUCUAUCCAGAUCUGUCAGCUCUAUAACAUUGCUCUUAGAGAUUGACACUUUCUGCAGAAACACAGAGGAAAUCCUUUAGUUUGCAUCGUCUUACCAAUGAGUGUUUCAGGUGCACACUGUAAUGUCUGCCGUCACUCACCUUGCCGGUGCUCUUAUUUCUCCGGUAGGUGACUUUAUACUGCAGCUGGUCAGAGAAGAUGUCCCUGAUGGUCUGCUGAUGUCCAUCUUUGAAGAUGGCGGUGAGUGGGUCAGACACAUACAGCGUGGUCUUCUUUUUGUCUUCGCUCACUUGCAGCUUGAAGUCAGGUCUGCCUAUUUCAGCUGUGGAGGAGGAACAUGGGGAUCAGUUUGUAUAUCUAUGAGUGGACAAAACAGCGAAUGUUGCUAGAAAUGCUUCAGUAAACAGGGAAGCUGCGUGCACACACAACUACAGGAAAGCUGGAUUUAUUAUUUGUGAAUUUGAACAAUAUUUAGUUGGCGGCUUCAAAUAGGCCCACAGGGUUUACUGUCUACUUCUGUCUACUGCACUGUAAAUUAUGCAAAACAACAACAAACAAUAGAUGUAAGCAGUGGGAAUAAUCUAAUAAAACAUGUUUAAACUGA
Eleginops maclovinus (Patagonian blennie) is the source of this 2648-nucleotide RNA transcript. It is a transcript of the gene named acid phosphatase 5b, tartrate resistant, with no coding region annotated. The record is from RefSeq and is a predicted model, not a curated record. NCBI's taxonomy places the organism in Eukaryota, Metazoa, Chordata, Actinopteri, Perciformes, Eleginopidae. The transcript is spliced from 7 exons.